GACGAACGCUGGCGGCGUGCUUAACACAUGCAAGUCGAACGGAAAGGCCCUGCUUUUGUGGGGUGCUCGAGUGGCGAACGGGUGAGUAACACGUGAGUAACCUGCCCUUGACUUUGGGAUAACUUCAGGAAACUGGGGCUAAUACCGGAUAGGAGCUCCUGCUGCAUGGUGGGGGUUGGAAAGUUUCGGCGGUUGGGGAUGGACUCGCGGCUUAUCAGCUUGUUUGUGGGGUAGUGGCUUACCAAGGCUUUGACGGGUAGCCGGCCUGAGAGGGUGACCGGCCACAUUGGGACUGAGAUACGGACCAGACUGCUACGGGAGGCAGCAGUGGGGAAUAUUGCACAAUGGGCGGAAGCCUGAUGCAGAAACGCCGCGUGCGGGAUGACGGGCUUCGGGUUGUAAACCGAUUUCGCCUGAGACGAAGCGGGAGUGACGGUAAUGGGUAAAGAAGCACCGGCUAACUACGUG
RNAcentral lists this ribosomal RNA (468 nucleotides) under uncultured bacterium. Its description in RNAcentral is "partial 16S ribosomal RNA". It matches the Rfam family "Bacterial small subunit ribosomal RNA", at positions 28 to 507 of the family's 1533-position model. The record is from RNAcentral.